UACAGAGGUCUCAAGCGUUGUUCGGAUUCAUUGGGCGUAAAGGGUGCGUAGGCGGCGCGGUAAGUCGGGUGUGAAAUCUCAGAGCUCAACUCUGAAACUGCACUCGAUACUGCUUUGCUUGAGGACCGGAGAGGAGAUUGGAAUUCCUGGUGUAGCGGUGAAAUGCGCAGAUAUCAGGAGGAACACCGAUGGCGAAGGCAGCUCGCUGGGACGGUACUGACGCUGAGGCGCGAAAGCGUGGGGAGCAAACAGG
This 253-nucleotide ribosomal RNA is filed under the name uncultured bacterium. RNAcentral describes it as "partial 16S ribosomal RNA". It matches the Rfam family "Bacterial small subunit ribosomal RNA", at positions 524 to 776 of the family's 1533-position model. The record is from RNAcentral.